RNAcentral lists this ribosomal RNA (254 nucleotides) under uncultured bacterium. Its description in RNAcentral is "partial 16S ribosomal RNA". It matches the Rfam family "Bacterial small subunit ribosomal RNA", at positions 524 to 777 of the family's 1533-position model. The record is from RNAcentral.
UACGGGGGGGGCAAGCGUUGUUCGGAAUUACUGGGCGUAAAGGGCUCGUAGGCGGCCAACUAAGUCAUACGUGAAAUCCCUCGGCUUAACCGGGGAACUGCGUCUGAUACUGGAUGGCUUGAGUUCGGGAGAGGGAUGCGGAAUUCCAGGUGUAGCGGUGAAAUGCGUAGAUAUCUGGAGGAACACCGGUGGCGAAGGCGGCAUCCUGGACCGAUACUGACGCUGAGGAGCGAAAGCCAGGGGAGCAAAACGGG